Molecule: ribosomal RNA, 468 nt
Filed under: uncultured bacterium
Lineage: Bacteria
Description: partial 16S ribosomal RNA
Rfam family: Bacterial small subunit ribosomal RNA
Source: RNAcentral
GACGAACGCUGGCGGCGUGCUUAACACAUGCAAGUCGAACGGAAAGGCCCUGCUUUUGUGGGGUGCUCGAGUGGCGAACGGGUGAGUAACACGUGAGUAACCUGCCCUUGACUUUGGGAUAACUUCAGGAAACCGGGGCUAAUACCGGAUAGGAGCUCCUGCUGCAUGGUGGGGGUUGGAAAGUUUCGGCGGUUGGGGAUGGACUCGCGGCUUAUCAGCUUGUUGGUGGGGUAGUGGCUUACCAAGGCUUUGACGGAUAGCCGGCCUGAGAGGGUGACCGGCCACAUUGGGACUGAGAGACGGCCCAGACUCCUACGGGAGGCAGCAGUGGGGAAUAUUGCACAAUGGGCGGAAGCCUGAUGCAGCAACGCUGCGUGCGGGAUGACGGCCUUCGGGUUGUAAACCGCUUUCGCCUGUGACGAAGCGUGAGUGACGGUAAUGGGUAAAGAAGCACCGGCUAACUACGUG